GCGCUGUUGCAGUUUUUUCCUCCCAUCAAAACAUGUUUUUUUUUAUUUGGCUGGUUGGUAUUUUUUUACUGGGAGCUGCUGACUGACUCUGAUGUCUUUGUGCACUGCUCCUGCCAAAGCUGCUUGCGCAGGAGGUCAAAGCAAGAGUGAAGACUGUUUGCAAUGCUCAGAGACGCACUGAAUUUCAGCCAAACGCCUUUGCAAAGUUCAGCGCUGGCCCCGAGGCUCUGUUAGCAGCACGUGUCUGUGGCCUAAAACUCUUCCUGAGCUCAACCACAACCAUCUGUGGCCCAUCACAGCCGUCACUCUCCAGCCAAGCGCAAACCAAGCCAGCAGCUCUCAGCACUCAGAUGAGGCAGCAUCGGCAGCACUCAGCCUUACCAGAAAGCCGUCUUUCUUGAAAGAAGAGCUUUUGCAUCUCAACAACAAACCUCAUACCUCUGAGCAAGGUUGCAAGGAGAGGUCGGGCACCGUCCUGUCACAGCGAGAAGAGAGCUGGAAUGAUGGACCUCUCACAGCCCGGACGCCUCGUCACCGGGCGCGUUUCACUGCUCCUCUCAGCGCUGGUUCUACAGUCACCACGGCAGCGUCCUCCGAAUAACCUGCGAACCCGGCUCUGCCAUCACGGCCGCCACC
RNAcentral lists this long non-coding RNA (636 nucleotides) under Chrysolophus pictus (golden pheasant). RNAcentral describes it as "lncRNA (ENSCPIG00010004310.1)". Lineage: Eukaryota; Metazoa; Chordata; Aves; Galliformes; Phasianidae. The record is from RNAcentral.